UCAGCUAUGUGUAAUGUCCAGUUUGUCC
Molecule: non-coding RNA, 28 nt
Filed under: Mus musculus (house mouse)
Lineage: Eukaryota; Metazoa; Chordata; Mammalia; Rodentia; Muridae
Source: RNAcentral